ACAUUUUUUAGAGCCUAAUUCACCUUAAUUAACAAUUAAAAUUACAUUCAAAUCCAAAUUCAGAAAUUUAAUGCUAAAACCCCUCCUCAAAUAAAUAUAUUGUAAUCCAUCUCUACUAAAAUAAGCUGCACCUUGAUCUGAUUUUUAAUUUAAUAAAAUAUCCUAAUUAUAUAUUUCCAAAAAUAAUUUUUAACGACGAUAUACAAGCAAAAUUCGAGUUUUAUUAAUCGUGGAUUAUCGAUUACAGGACAGAUUCCCCUGAUUGGAAUAAAAAACCGCCAAAUUUUUUGAUUUUAAAGAACAUAGCUAAUAUUUGUCAAGUCUAAAAUAUCUACAUCUAGAAUAAUGGGGUAUCUAAUCCCAGUCUAAAAUCCAGGUUUCUUAACCUCAUAAUCAAAAAUUUAAUUUAAUAGAAAAUAAGAUUUCACCCAAUAUUCCCUAAAAUAAAAAUCAACCUUUUAUUAAUUAAGUAUAGUAACUGUAAAAAAAUAGUAGUUUUAUUUGUUUAACCGCA
Molecule: ribosomal RNA, 514 nt
Filed under: Samuelsonia sp. JGZ-91
Lineage: Eukaryota; Metazoa; Arthropoda; Insecta; Coleoptera; Chrysomelidae
Description: partial 12S ribosomal RNA
Source: RNAcentral